AAUCUUGGACAAUGGGCGCAAGCCUGAUCCAACCAUGCCGCGUGAGUGAAGAAGGCCUUCGGGUUGUAAAGCUCUUUUGCCAGGGACGAUAAUGACGGUACCUGGAGAAUAAGCCCCGGCAAACUUCGUGCCAGCAGCCGCGGUAAUACGAAGGGGGCUAGCGUUGUUCGGAAUUACUGGGCGUAAAGCGCACGUAGGCUGAUAGUUAAGUGAGGGGUGAAAUCCCGAGGCUCAACCUCGGAACUGCCUUUCAUACUGGCUGUCUCGAGUCCGGAAGAGGUUAGUGGAAUUCCUAGUGUAGAGGUGAAAUUCGUAGAUAUUAGGAAGAACACCAGUGGCGAAGGCGGCUAACUGGUCCGGUACUGACGCUGAGGUGCGAAAGCGUGGGGAGCAAACAGG
Molecule: ribosomal RNA, 399 nt
Filed under: uncultured bacterium
Lineage: Bacteria
Description: partial 16S ribosomal RNA
Rfam family: Bacterial small subunit ribosomal RNA
Source: RNAcentral